This 21-nucleotide microRNA is filed under the name Corchorus olitorius. RNAcentral describes it as "aly-miR395d-". Lineage: Eukaryota; Viridiplantae; Streptophyta; Magnoliopsida; Malvales; Malvaceae. The record is from RNAcentral.
GUUCUCCUGAUCACUUCAUUG